UGGGGAAUCUUAGACAAUGGGGGAAACCCUGAUCUAGCCAUGCCGCGUGAGUGACGAAGGCCCUAGGGUCGUAAAGCUCUUUCGCCAGGGAAGAUAAUGACUGUACCUGGUAAAGAAACCCCGGCUAACUCCGUGCCAGCAGCCGCGGUAAUACGGAGGGGGUUAGCGUUGUUCGGAAUUACUGGGCGUAAAGCGCGCGUAGGCGGAUUAUUAAGUCAGAGGUGAAAUCCCGGGGCUCAACCCCGGAACUGCCUUUGAUACUGGUAGUCUUGAGUUCGAGAGAGGUGAGUGGAAUUCCGAGUGUAGAGGUGAAAUUCGUAGAUAUUCGGAAGAACACCAGUGGCGAAGGCGACUGUCUGGCACAUUUCUGACGCUGAGGUGCGAAAGCGUGGGGAGCAAACAGGAUUAGAUACCCGUGUAGUCC
RNAcentral lists this ribosomal RNA (424 nucleotides) under uncultured prokaryote. RNAcentral describes it as "bacterial SSU rRNA". It matches the Rfam family "Bacterial small subunit ribosomal RNA", at positions 355 to 796 of the family's 1533-position model. The record is from RNAcentral.